This 447-nucleotide ribosomal RNA is filed under the name uncultured bacterium. Its description in RNAcentral is "bacterial SSU rRNA". It matches the Rfam family "Bacterial small subunit ribosomal RNA", at positions 355 to 825 of the family's 1533-position model. The record is from RNAcentral.
UGGGGAAUAUUGGACAAUGGGCGGAAGCCUGAUCCAGCAAUGCCGCGUGAGUGAUGAAGGCCCUAGGGUUGUAAAGCUCUUUUACCCGGGAUGAUAAUGACAGUACCGGGAGAAUAAGCUCCGGCUAACUUCGUGCCAGCAGCCGCGGUAAUACGAGGGGAGCUAGCGUUGUUCGGAAUUACUGGGCGUAAAGCGCGCGUAGGCGGUUUUUAAGUCAGAGGUGAAAGCCCGGGGCUCAACCCCGGAAUAGCCUUUGAAACUGGAAAACUAGAAUCUUGGAGAGGUCAGUGGAAUUCCGAGUGUAGAGGUGAAAUUCGUAGAUAUUCGGAAGAACACCAGUGGCGAAGGCGACUGACUGGACAAGUAUUGACGCUGAGGUGCGAAAAGCGUGGGGAGCAAACAGGAUUAGAUACCCACGUAGUCCCUGAGCGGGCUGGCAAGGCGCAU